Molecule: ribosomal RNA, 373 nt
Filed under: uncultured bacterium
Lineage: Bacteria
Description: bacterial SSU rRNA
Rfam family: Bacterial small subunit ribosomal RNA
Source: RNAcentral
AUUGAACGCUGGCGGCAUGCCUUACACAUGCAAGUCGAACGGCAGCACGGGAGCAAUCCUGGUGGCGAGUGGCGAACGGGUGAGUAAUAUAUCGGAACGUGCCCGGUCGUGGGGGAUAACGUAGCGAAAGCUACGCUAAUACCGCAUACGAUCUACGGAUGAAAGCGGGGGAUCGCAAGACCUCGCGCGAUUGGAGCGGCCGAUAUCAGAUUAGGUAGUUGGUGAGGUAAAGGGCUCACCAAGCCGACGAUCUGUAGCUGGUCUGAGAGGACGACCAGCCACACUGGGACUGAGACACGGCCCAGACUCCUACGGGAGGCAGCAGUGGGAAUUUUGGACAAUGGGCGCAAGCCUGAUCCAGCAAUGCCGCGUG